UACGGGGGGGGCAAGCGUUGUUCGGAAUUACUGGGCGUAAAGGGCGCGUAGGCGGUCAGACCAAGUCGAAUGUGAAAUUCCAGGGCCUAACUCUGGCGGGUCGUUCGAUACUGGUCGACUAGAGUGUAGAAGAGGAUGUCGGAAUUCCCGGUGUAGCGGUGAAAUGCGCAGAUAUCAGGAGGAACACCGGUGGCGAAGGCGGGUCUCUGGGCCGAUACUGACGCUGAGGAGCGAAAGCGUGGGGAGCAAACAGG
Molecule: ribosomal RNA, 254 nt
Filed under: uncultured bacterium
Lineage: Bacteria
Description: partial 16S ribosomal RNA
Rfam family: Bacterial small subunit ribosomal RNA
Source: RNAcentral